RNAcentral lists this ribosomal RNA (279 nucleotides) under uncultured bacterium. Its description in RNAcentral is "partial 16S ribosomal RNA". It matches the Rfam family "Bacterial small subunit ribosomal RNA", at positions 506 to 784 of the family's 1533-position model. The record is from RNAcentral.
UGCCAGCCGCCGCGGUAAGACGGGGGAUGCGAGCGUUACCCGGAAUCAUUGGGCGUAAAGCGCCUGCAGGCGGACCGCCAAGUCUUCUGUCAAACCUUGGGGCUCAACCCCUCGAAGGCGGUAGAUACUGGUAGUCUAGAGUGUGGCAGGGGUAGAGGGAACUUCUAGUGUAGCGGUGAAAUGCGCAGAUAUUAGAAAGAACACCGGUGGCGAAAGCGCUCUACUGGACCAUUACUGACGCUCAGAGGCGAAAGCUGGGGGAGCGAGAGGGAUUAGAUA